RNAcentral lists this ribosomal RNA (119 nucleotides) under Cicer arietinum (chickpea). Lineage: Eukaryota; Viridiplantae; Streptophyta; Magnoliopsida; Fabales; Fabaceae. The record is from RNAcentral.
AGAUGCGAUCGUAUCAUCACUAAUGCAGCAGAGCCCAUCCGAACUCCGCAAUUAAGCGUGCUUGGGCGAGAGUAGUACUAAGAUGGGAAACCAACUAGGAAGUUCUCGUGUUGCACCUU